AGUCGACGAGAAGGGGAGCAAUCCCUGAGUAAAGUGGCGUACGGGUGAGUAACACGUGGGUAAUCUACCUUUUGGUGGGGAAUAACCCUGGGAAACCGGGGCUAAUACCGCAUAAGCCUGAGAAGGGAAAGGAGCAAUUCGCCGAAAGAGGAGCCCGCGGCUGAUUAGCUAGUUGGUGAGGUAAAGGCUCACCAAGGCUUCGAUCGGUAGCCGGCCUGAGAGGGCACACGGCCACACUGGCACUGAAACACGGGCCAGACUCCUACGGGAGGCAGCAGUGGGGAAUCUUGCACAAUGGGGGAAACCCUGAUGCAGCGACGCCGCGUGAGUGAUGAAGCCCUUCGGGGUGUAAAGCUCUUUCGGCAGGGACGAUAAUGACGGUACCUGAAGAAGAAGCUGCGGCUAACUACGUGCCAGCAGCCGCGGUAAUACGUAGGCAGCGAGCGUUGUUCGGAGUUACUGGGCGUAAAGAGUGCGUAGGCGGUUUUCUAAGUUUGGUGUGAAAUCUCCCGGCUCAACUGGGAGGGUGCGC
RNAcentral lists this ribosomal RNA (532 nucleotides) under uncultured bacterium. Its description in RNAcentral is "bacterial SSU rRNA". It matches the Rfam family "Bacterial small subunit ribosomal RNA", at positions 60 to 626 of the family's 1533-position model. The record is from RNAcentral.